AGGUAAUAUAAACCUAUUUAUAAUGGCGGCCUUUAUUCAAUUAGAGGAACUUGUUUCAUAAUCGAUAAUCCCCGUUCAUUUUAACUUUAAAUUAUAAUUUAUAUAUCGCCAUCUAAAGAAUUAAUUAAUUAAUUUUUUCUGAAUAAAAAAUAAAAAGUUAGGUCAAGGUGUAGUUAACAUUAAAGAUUAAAAUGAGUUACAUUAAAAAUUAUUUAAAGAAUUUUAACUUAAAAUUUUUAACAAAAAAGGAUUUAUAAGUAUUUAUAUAAUAAUAUUAUUAAUUGAAUUAAUACAUAAAAGUGU
This 303-nucleotide ribosomal RNA is filed under the name Pronophaea natalica. RNAcentral's name for it is "partial 12S ribosomal RNA". Lineage: Eukaryota; Metazoa; Arthropoda; Arachnida; Araneae; Corinnidae. The record is from RNAcentral.